UAGGGAAUCUUCCGCAAUGGGCGAAAGCCUGACGGAGCAACGCCGCGUGAGUGAUGAAGGUCUUCGGAUCGUAAAACUCUGUUAUUAGGGAAGAACAAAUGUGUAAGUAACUAUGCACGUCUUGACGGUACCUAAUCAGAAAGCCACGGCUAACUACGUGCCAGCAGCCGCGGUAAUACGUAGGUGGCAAGCGUUAUCCGGAAUUAUUGGGCGUAAAGCGCGCGUAGGCGGUUUUUUAAGUCUGAUGUGAAAGCCCACGGCUCAACCGUGGAGGGUCAUUGGAAACUGGAAAACUUGAGUGCAGAAGAGGAAAGUGGAAUUCCAUGUGUAGCGGUGAAAUGCGCAGAGAGAUGGAGGAACACCAGUGGCGAAGGCGACUUUCUGGUCUGUAACUGACGCUGAUGUGCGAAAGCGUGGGGAUCAAACAGG
RNAcentral lists this ribosomal RNA (429 nucleotides) under Actinomycetes bacterium. Its description in RNAcentral is "Actinobacteria bacterium partial 16S ribosomal RNA". It matches the Rfam family "Bacterial small subunit ribosomal RNA", at positions 355 to 776 of the family's 1533-position model. The record is from RNAcentral. Lineage: Bacteria; Bacillati; Actinomycetota; Actinomycetes.